GACGGGGCCCGCACAAGCGGAGGAACAUGUGGUUUAAUUCGAUGAUACGCGAGGAACCUUACCUGGGCUUAAAUGUAGAGUGCAUUUUUUAGAGAUAGAAAUUCCCUUCGGGGCUUUCUGCAAGGUGCUGCAUGGUUGUCGUCAGCUCGUGCCGUGAGGUGUCGGGUUAAGUCCCAUAACGAGCGCAACCCUUAUCGUUAGUUGCCAUCUGGUAAUGCAGGGGACUCUAGCGAAACUGCCACCGUAAGGUGAGAGGAAGGUGGGGAUGACGUCAAAUCAGCACGGCCCUUAUGUCCAGGGCUACACACGUGUUACAAUGGUCGGUACAGAGGGCAGCUACCUGGUGACAGGAUGCUAAUCUCGAAAACCGGUCUCAGUUCGGAUCGAAGUCUGCAACUCGACUUCGUGAAGCUGGAUUCGCUAGUAAUCGCGCAUCAGCUAUGGCGCGGUGAAUACGUUCCCGGGCCUU
This 469-nucleotide ribosomal RNA is filed under the name uncultured Sphingobacteriales bacterium. RNAcentral describes it as "bacterial SSU rRNA". It matches the Rfam family "Bacterial small subunit ribosomal RNA", at positions 916 to 1381 of the family's 1533-position model. The record is from RNAcentral. Lineage: Bacteria; Pseudomonadati; Bacteroidota; Sphingobacteriia; Sphingobacteriales.